Molecule: ribosomal RNA, 253 nt
Filed under: uncultured bacterium
Lineage: Bacteria
Description: partial 16S ribosomal RNA
Rfam family: Bacterial small subunit ribosomal RNA
Source: RNAcentral
UACGUAGGGUGCGAGCGUUAAUCGGAAUUACUGGGCGUAAAGCGUGCGCAGGCGGUUCGCUAAGACAGAUGUGAAAUCCCCGGGCUCAACCUGGGAACUGCGUUUGUGACUGCAAGACUCGAGUGCGGCAGAGGGGGGUGGAAUUCCACGUGUAGCAGUGAAAUGCGUAGAGAUGUGGAGGAACACCGAUGGCGAAGGCAGCCCCCUGGGUCGACACUGACGCUCAUGCACGAAAGCGUGGGGAGCAAACAGG